This 84-nucleotide non-coding RNA is filed under the name pig gut metagenome. Its description in RNAcentral is "S10-Clostridia ribosomal protein leader". It matches the Rfam family "S10-Clostridia ribosomal protein leader". The record is from RNAcentral.
UGAUAGCUGUGAAGCGUGAGGUUGCUGCCCUGCCGAAAGACAGUGCAGGUUUUCCGUGGAGCGAAUGUCAAGAGGGUCGGGAAU